CUCUCUCUCGGGCAGCGUUGGAUAAAAGGCAGCAGGCUUGCUAUACAACACUCCGGUUAUACCUACUUGGGGCUGGGAGCUAGUGUUCCGAACCUUUCCACCAAGACCGUGAACAUCGCAAGGAAUUCUCACUCACCAUGCAGUACAGCUCUGUGUUUUUAGCAGCUCUCUUCACCGUAAUCCUCCUAGCCGCCGGUGCCACGUCGCGCCGUCCAAGCCGAUGUGACGUUGUGCGCUGCCGAGGCUGUCCCAGUGGGUCCACGUUAAGCCCCUUGCCGAGUGACUGCUGCAGAUGCGUUACCGACUGCAGCGCCGUGUUCUGCGCCCCCUGUCCUAGGGGAACCACCCCGCGCCAGACUCCAGGAAACUGCUGCCAGUGCGUGAGAGGAUAAGACAACGACGGCUCCAGUCGCACAAGACCAGGACGAAGAAAUGUUUAGCGGCUCGAGCCUUACGGCGCAGAGCUUUUGUUUCUUGAGUAUGCGCGAAUAAAUUCACUUGUGUAAGCUUUA
Molecule: long non-coding RNA, 512 nt
Filed under: Dermacentor andersoni
Lineage: Eukaryota; Metazoa; Arthropoda; Arachnida; Ixodida; Ixodidae
Description: uncharacterized LOC126516873
Source: RNAcentral